AUACUUACCUGGCACAGGAGAUACCGGAUCACGAAGGCGGUUCUCCCAGGGGCGAGGCACACCAUUGCCUCCGGGGUGCUGACCUUGCGAUUAACCCAAAUGUGGUUAACUCGAGUGCGCAAUUUUUGUUAGUGGGGACGGGCGUUCGCGUUUAUCCCCC
RNAcentral lists this small nuclear RNA (160 nucleotides) under Penaeus monodon (black tiger shrimp). RNAcentral's name for it is "U1 spliceosomal RNA". It matches the Rfam family "U1 spliceosomal RNA". Rfam says of the family: U1 is a small nuclear RNA (snRNA) component of the spliceosome (involved in pre-mRNA splicing). The record is from RNAcentral. Lineage: Eukaryota; Metazoa; Arthropoda; Malacostraca; Decapoda; Penaeidae.